Non-coding RNA from Castor canadensis (American beaver), 524 nucleotides. NCBI's taxonomy places the organism in Eukaryota, Metazoa, Chordata, Mammalia, Rodentia, Castoridae. The record is from RefSeq and is a predicted model, not a curated record.
UUACAUUAUUUUAUUGGCAUCCUUUUCUUGUACUUUUCUUGGUUUAAAAAAAUACAAACUGAGAAGAAAUGUUUUCUGAAAAUAAAUCUUCUAUCUGCAGGUACUACUGAGCGAGUGUGCUUGAUCCAGGGAACAGUUGAAGCACUGAAUGCAGUUCAUGGAUUCAUUGCAGAAAAAAUUCGAGAAAUGCCCCAAAAUGUGGCCAAGACAGAACCAGUCAGCAUUCUACAACCCCAGACCACCGUUAAUCCAGAUCGCAUCAAACAAACAUUGCCAUCUUCCCCAACUACCACCAAGUCCUCUCCAUCUGAUCCCAUGACCACCUCCAGAGCUAAUCAGAAGCAUAAUAUCUCCUGGAUAACAUGAAGCAAGAUUUAAAAGAAGAACAGAACAAAACCCUUAAUUCAUUGAAAGAUCUAUAGUUAUCAGUGAUCUUUGUUAUUAGUAGCUUCUAAUUAUAUAGUACUUCUCCAUAGAUUCUAGUCAUGUGAUAGGACAAAAGGAAAUUUAUUUUUGUUCAUUUG